GAGGCCAGUGAUGAGGACUUUUCCCACUUGUGUUCGAGUUUCCGGACCAUGAGAUGACUCCACAUGCACUACCAUCUGAGGCUGC
Molecule: small nucleolar RNA, 85 nt
Organism: Choloepus didactylus (southern two-toed sloth)
Lineage: Eukaryota; Metazoa; Chordata; Mammalia; Pilosa; Megalonychidae
Source: RefSeq, a predicted model, not a curated record